RNAcentral lists this long non-coding RNA (1235 nucleotides) under Marmota monax (woodchuck). The record is from RNAcentral. Lineage: Eukaryota; Metazoa; Chordata; Mammalia; Rodentia; Sciuridae.
CUUACCUGUGACUGUAGAGUACUAGCAGUAGGCUUAACGCUGACUGCCUGACUGCCAGGGGCCAGAACAAGUGCUUUUUGUUUUUCAUCUUGGGUGCCACUCUGUCAGGGUUAGGUUUGUGAUGGGAAUAUUAAGACUAGUCCCUCAGAAACCAAACAUCUACCCAUUCAACUUUCAUUUUUAGGGGUAGAAAUGUAAAGUUGUUUCUGCCUCAGGAAACAAGUAUGUAUCAGGAAUGGUAGUUCAUACCAACAUGUUUAAUGCUGAGCAAAAAGAGAUUAUUCUUUCAGGAUAUUUUAUUUGGGAAUUGGGGAAAAAGAUUUCAGAGAGCUGAACAAAGAUGGAAAUGAGGCAGAUUCUCAGGGCAGAGGAGACAACCACUACCACCUCCCCCACUCCAACCUGAAAAUGCCUGUAUUUUUCCUACUGUGUGCAGGAAACCUCUCAAUCUGUCUCUAUCUCCUGUUUCCCUUCUGCUUCUGAAGUCACUGAGAAUACUAUUCCCACUGCUAUGGCUUAUUUUAAGAGUAAAUUGGGGGAGUUAAGGGAGUGUUAGAAACUUGCUACCACUGUGAGGAUGUGUUUUUGAAAGCCCAAAUUAUAACUGGAUAAUCCAUAGAUUAUUCCCAUUAAUGGUAAUUAGUUCUAUAGUGUUCUGCUAAAUUUUGGCUGAAUUUUUUGUUUUGUUCUUUUUGGAGGAGUGGCUGUUCAAGGGAGCUAUUCGUAUAAACAUAAGGAACUGCUGUUAAUAUAUCAGAAAGAGCAUGGUUUGGAAGCCAAAUGGCCUGAGUUAAGUAUCUGUUAACCUCUCUGUGCCUCAUUUUUCCCAUCUACAUAAUGGAAUAAUGUUUUCUUCCUCUCAGGAUCAAUAUUGAGAAAUAAAUAAUGUUUGUGCUAGAUGGGGCUGUUUCCCUUCCCAAUUACCUUUCAGAUUGUUUCAUAGGAAAUGCUUUAACUUUCUAAUAACCAAGUAAUACAAGAGAUUGUUUGGAAAGAUUCCUACCCUUCUUGAACUGCUUGUAUUAACAUGUCUCAUCCAUGGGUAUACUUUUGUCCUGGAGAAGCAUCCUAGUAGGGCAGUGUUUUUCAAACUACAGGUGGUUUUAAAAUCAGCUUACUAAAUUGACUUUUCUUUUUAAUGAGAUAAAUUUGAAAAUAUCAUACGUGAAGGCUGGAAGUGUAGCUCAGAGGUAGAUUGUGUGUUUAGCAUGCUGAGGCCCUGGGUUCAAUCCUCA